RNAcentral lists this microRNA precursor (57 nucleotides) under Heliconius melpomene (postman butterfly). RNAcentral's name for it is "Hme-Mir-2796_pre stem-loop". Lineage: Eukaryota; Metazoa; Arthropoda; Insecta; Lepidoptera; Nymphalidae. The record is from RNAcentral.
CAGGGGUUUCUUUCGGCCUUCAGCUGUUUAGACUGUAGGCCGGCGGAAACUACUUGC